RNA transcript from Nymphaea colorata (pocket water lily), 2143 nucleotides. RefSeq lists it as uncharacterized. NCBI's taxonomy places the organism in Eukaryota, Viridiplantae, Streptophyta, Magnoliopsida, Nymphaeales, Nymphaeaceae. The transcript is spliced from 5 exons. The record is from RefSeq and is a predicted model, not a curated record.
GUUACCUACUCCACCGACUAGAACAAAUUCAUGUCCUGACGAAACCAUCUUCCAAGGCGUAUUUACAGACAACUACGAUCCUCAUGGUGCCAAGAGCGAGAUAAUCUCGUCAACGCGUCGUGGCACCGGUACUUGGUGCUUAGCAAAUGUUUGUCAACAUUCUCGUCGUCAGCGUCGUCCCAUGGAUUCCCCUGUUUCCAUUUUCUUUAGUAUGUUCGCCCGAUUCUCACUAGUUCCGUGCCUGUUUCGGAGUGGAAUUUUGUGGCAACAUGAAUGACCGGCAGAUGCUGGUCGCCAUAUAACAGUGGCAUCUCUCUGUUCGAGCCAGUUUUUUAUCACUGCAGAAUGCCUCAAGCGCUGCAAUAGUUUAAUAACGAGCCAUUGAGUUUUCUUGAUUUCGCUGAGCCGCCUCUGUAGAUAAAGCUGGUUCCAUGGCUUUGCUUAUUCUUACUGUUUUGAUCACCAACUUUAUGGCUUUUGGGGGCUUUAUCUGUCUAUCCAAUUCAAAAUGUUACGGCAACUCUAGUGCGUUGAAGAAUUACGUUGUUUUUGUUGUUUGAAACACUUUCGGCAGUUUAUGUUAGAAAUUUUGUGUUUUAAAUAAGCGUAAAAUCGGGGCGGAGAUUUUCAUAUGAUAAUGGUUGUGCAAGAAGACCAUGUUCAAUCUUGCGAAUCUGGAACUGAGGACUGUAAAACAACUUCAAUUUCUGAAGCCGAAAAGGAGGAGAGCCAGGAGACCACCUCUACAUCUUAUGAAGGUGCAGACGAGGAAGAAUCGUCAGAAAUUUGUCGUGUUUGUCAAUCUGCUGAGCCUGAUAGAAGGGGAGAUGCUGCACUAGUUUUCCUGAACAUCAUUCCCCCUAUAGAUGCUGAUUCACAAGGUGUCGGGGAAAAUAGCUCAGGACAUAAAGAUAAUACGAGAAAUGCUCAUGAUGGCGUUGGUGAUCCGAAGGACUCUGAAACGGAGCCUACUUUUCUUAAGUUUGUGAGUCCUGAAGGUGAAGUUUUUAUCUGUAGUGCAGGUUUGGAAGCUGGGUCCUACCAUUAUCAUGAUGCGCUGAUUAAUCUUGGAUGUUCAUGCAAGAAUGAUCUUGCUCUUGUACAUUAUGCUUGUGCACUUAAGUGGUUCAUCAAUCAUGGAUCCACUGUCUGUGAAAUUUGUGGAAGCAUAGCAACAAAUAUUAGGACAGCAGAUUUCCAUAAGGUUAUAUUUUUGUUAAAGGAAUGCGAGAGCUUAAGAGAAAGAACUGCUGCUGGAGAACUUACUCCUGUACAUAUGCAGUCAAAUCCACGUGCGGAUCCUGAUGCAGUCGCUGCUAUUCGAUUGCUGAGACUUACUGAGAUCUCUUUGUGGUUUAAUCCACAGAACCAUUUCACUACAUUGUCACAAGGCACCAUUGAUCAAGCUUCCACCAUUCCUGCUGAGGAAACUAGCUCCAAUGUGAACCGUGCCACCAAAUGGGCUGUAGAAAGUGCUGGGAUACUAGUAGCCACCGGACUGCUCACGAUAACCCUUGCAUGGCUUAUUGCACCUCGCAUUGGAAAGAAAACUGCUAGAAGUGGCCUCCACAUUUUCCUGGGAGGGCUUUGCGCCUUGACCAUUGUCGUGUUCCUUCGAUUUGUAGUGUUACCAAGAGUCAAGUAUGGACCAGCAUGUCAUUGUGCAAUUUUAUUUGUCUUCUGGUCUCUCUUUGCUGUCUGGUCCUCUCGAGCUCGUGCCUGACUUCAUGUAAAUUGAGUGCAGCUAGUAUGACAUCAGUCUUCAAGAAUCUAGAAGACUCUGUCUAGAUGAUCGCUAUUGGUACAACUUGAGUGGCAAGGUUCUAGCUUUCUCAUGAAUCUUGGUGAUUGUUGCUUAAGAUGCUCCCAUGUUCCUCACAAUUGGUAUGUGCUGUGGCAAGGAGGGUGAUAUUGUCCAAUCAUAAUCGUCAGUAUGGCUUCAAUCCACCUUAUGCCUAGAGUAGAUGCUCCUUUUGAGAAGCCGACACCAGUUGAAAUUUUGCAGGCUGUUACUCCUGUCUAUAGGGGUUUCUGUCAUUUUCUUGUUUCCUUUUAUGUAAAUGAUACAUGAUACACGCAAGCAGCCAAAUUAUUGUAAAAAGAAGAAGCUUAGUUAUCAUCUAUUUUUUCUUUUUAGAAUGAA